RNAcentral lists this ribosomal RNA (488 nucleotides) under Petrolisthes tuberculosus. Its description in RNAcentral is "SSU rRNA". It matches the Rfam family "Eukaryotic small subunit ribosomal RNA", at positions 838 to 1325 of the family's 1831-position model. Lineage: Eukaryota; Metazoa; Arthropoda; Malacostraca; Decapoda; Porcellanidae. The record is from RNAcentral.
UUGUUGGUUUUAACUGAACCCAAGGUAAUGACUAAGAGAGACAGUCGGGGGCAUUUGUACUGUGACGCUAGAGGUGAAAUUCUUGGACCGUCACAAGACAAACAACUGCGAAAGCAUUUGCCAAGGAUGUUUUCAUUAAUCAAGAACGAAAGUUAGAGGUUCGAAGGCGAUCAGAUACCGCCCUAGUUCUAACCAUAAACGAUGCCAACCAGCAAUCCGCCGGGGUUAUUCCCAUGACCCGGCGGGCAGCUUCCGGGAAACCAGAGUCUUUGGGUUCCGGGGGAAGUAUGGUUGCAAAGCUGAAACUUAAAGGAAUUGACGGAAGGGCACCACCAGGAGUGGAGCCUGCGGCUUAAUUUGACUCAACACGGGAAACCUCACCAGGCCCAGACACUGGAAGGAUUGACAGAUUGAGAGCUCUUUCUCGAUUCAGUGGGUGGUGGUGCAUGGCCGUUCUUAGUUGGUGGAGUGAUUUGUCUGGUUAAUUC